Molecule: ribosomal RNA, 115 nt
Filed under: Chelydra serpentina (North American snapping turtle)
Lineage: Eukaryota; Metazoa; Chordata; Testudines; Chelydridae
Source: RNAcentral
CUACGGCCAUACCACCCUGAACACGCCCGAUCUCGUCUGAUCUCGGAAGCUAAGCAGGGUCGGGCCUGGUUAGUACUUGGAUGGGAGACCUCCUGGGAAUACUGGGUGCUGUAGG